GGGCCGCUAGCUCAAUGGCAGAGCAACGGACUUUUAAUCCGCAGGUUCUGGGUUCGAGUCCCAGGCGGCCCA
This 72-nucleotide transfer RNA is filed under the name Actinomycetota bacterium. RNAcentral's name for it is "Actinobacteria bacterium tRNA-Lys". It matches the Rfam family "tRNA". Rfam says of the family: Transfer RNA (tRNA) molecules are approximately 80 nucleotides in length. Lineage: Bacteria; Bacillati; Actinomycetota. The record is from RNAcentral.